UAGUGAGUUUGAUCCUGGCUCAGAACGAACGUUGGCGGCGUGGAUUAGGCAUGCAAGUCGUGGGAAUGCCUCGCAAGAGGCGGAACCGGCGUAAGGGGCAGUAAGGCGUAGGUACCUACCCGGGGGUUGGGCAUAGCCCGUAGAGAUACGGGGUAAUUCCCAGCGAUGUCGCAAGACCAAAGCUCCGGCGCCCUCGGAGGGGCCUACGUGAUAUUAGCUAGUUGGUGGGGUAACGGCCCACCAAGGCGAAGAUGUCUAGCGGGUGUGAGAGCACGACCCGCGCCACUGGCACUGAGACACUGGCCAGACACCUACGGGUGGCUGCAGUCGAGGAUCUUCGGCAAUGGGGGCAACCCUGACCGAGCGACGCCGCGUGGGCGAUGAAGGCCUUCGGGGUUGUAAAGCCCCU
This 409-nucleotide ribosomal RNA is filed under the name uncultured bacterium. RNAcentral's name for it is "bacterial SSU rRNA". It matches the Rfam family "Bacterial small subunit ribosomal RNA", at positions 1 to 435 of the family's 1533-position model. The record is from RNAcentral.